UACGAGGGGUGCAAGCGUUGUUCGGAAUCACUGGGCGUAAAGGGCGCGUAGGCGGCCUUGCAAGUCGGUUGGUGAAAGCCCGGGGCUCAACCCCGGAGGUGCGGCCGAGACUGCAGGGCUGGAGGCCGGAAGAGGAGGGUGGAAUACCCAGUGUAGAGGUGAAAUUCGUAGAUAUUGGGUGGAACACCGGUGGCGAAGGCGGCUCACUGGCUCGUAACUGACGCUGAGGCGCGAAAGCUAGGGGAGCAAACAGG
RNAcentral lists this ribosomal RNA (254 nucleotides) under uncultured bacterium. RNAcentral describes it as "partial 16S ribosomal RNA". It matches the Rfam family "Bacterial small subunit ribosomal RNA", at positions 524 to 776 of the family's 1533-position model. The record is from RNAcentral.